GGAAUUUUGCACAAUGGACGCAAGUCUGAUGCAGCAACGCCGCGUGUGUGAAGAAGGCUCUUGGGUUGUAAAGCACUUUCGACAGGAAAGAAGGGACCAUUUGCGAAUAGCCUGUGGUUCUGACGGUACCUGAAGAAGAAGCCCCGGCUAACUCAGUGCCCGCAGCCGCGGUAAUACGGAGGGUGCGAGCGUUGUUCGGAAUUACUGGGCGUAAAGCGCGCGUAGGCGGGUUUUCAAGUCAAUUGUGAAAUCCCGGGGCUCAACCCCGGACGUGCAGUUGAAACUGUUAAUCUUGAAUACCUAAGAGGAUGGCGGAAUUCCCGGUGUAGGAGUGAAAUCCGUAGAUAUCGGGAGGAACACCCGAGGCGAAGGCGGCCACCUGGACGGUGACUGACGCUGAGACGCGAAAGCGUGGGGAGCAAA
RNAcentral lists this ribosomal RNA (423 nucleotides) under uncultured bacterium. Its description in RNAcentral is "bacterial SSU rRNA". It matches the Rfam family "Bacterial small subunit ribosomal RNA", at positions 358 to 772 of the family's 1533-position model. The record is from RNAcentral.